AGUGCAAAAUGGAAGUCACAAUAUCUUGUGCUCAAGGGAACUACACUAAUGAGCUUAGAAGUAUUUUCAAGCAUGGAAACCACAAAACAAACUCCUCAGUAAAAUACAGCUAUCUAUUAACUCAAAUCAGGCUUCCUUUCCUGGUAUCAGUAACUAUAUACUAUGUAAUCAGGCCUAUUGAUUGCUUUGGACCUGACACCUCAAAAGUCAUGCUCAAUAACAUUAAAAUGUCUUGUUAAACAAAUCCAGAGAGUUAUUAGCAUGAUACCAUCUAGUUGUCAGCAAUCCCUCUACUCCAACUGGACAACGAGUGUAGCUACAACUUUCGUUAACACGUUUAUUAUGUUUGUAGGAAAAAAAAUUGGGGAGGAAGAUGAGUCAUGAUGAGUUCUUCACGGAGACUCACAUCCGAAAGAAGAAAGCACCGACAGAUCCAACUAGAUGGGUGGAGGACCGGGC
Molecule: long non-coding RNA, 459 nt
Filed under: Nicotiana benthamiana
Lineage: Eukaryota; Viridiplantae; Streptophyta; Magnoliopsida; Solanales; Solanaceae
Description: long non-coding RNA (NBEN_LNC002277)
Source: RNAcentral